This 145-nucleotide non-coding RNA is filed under the name Bacillus sp. (in: firmicutes). Its description in RNAcentral is "Bacillus sp. FMN sequence". It matches the Rfam family "FMN riboswitch aptamer (RFN element)". Rfam says of the family: The RFN element is a highly conserved domain that is found frequently in the 5'-untranslated regions of prokaryotic mRNAs that encode for flavin mononucleotide (FMN) biosynthesis and transport proteins. Lineage: Bacteria; Bacillati; Bacillota; Bacilli; Caryophanales; Bacillaceae. The record is from RNAcentral. RNAcentral also lists the same sequence under 1 other name.
AUUAUCCUUCGGGGCAGGGUGGAAUUCCCUACCGGCGGUGAUGAGGCGCAAUGCUUCAAAGUCCGUGACCCGGUGGCGCAUGCCAGCGGUGGAUCCAGUGAGAUUCUGGAGCCGACAGUUAAAGUCUGGAUGGGAGAAGGAUCGA